AAGGUGGCUGGCCGGCAGGCCAAUGGCGGCCAACGCUACUUCCGGCCGCCCUCCGAGCAUCGCUCUUCGGCAACCCGAAGCCACAGGAUGGAGGAGGGGGAUCCCAGCAAAGGUAGCGACUAAGGGGACCCAAGCAGAACGGGAGGGCGACGUCCGGAGCGGCGGCAGAGCCAGGGGACGCUGUGUGAGGCUGGCAAAGCGGUGUUCACCUAGUUCUCUCGGGCUCCGCCGCCGCGGGAGGAGGACAGGAGGCCGGCAAGGCGACCCCCAAAUCUUCCUAGGCUCUGACCUCCGUCUCCUAACCCCCGCAACUUCCAACCCGGUCUUGGAAAAUCCCGCGAGAACGGGCUCCCGAAUUGUCAUUGGGAUCUCGCGAGAACGAAAUCUUCCUUUCUGUGGGCGGAGCAAUCUUCCCGAUGUCUCUCCCCUCUGAGGCCUGUAGCAGGAAGGGCCGCGGGAGUUGCGAGUGUCGCGAGGUUUGAGGUCGCUCGGUGGGCCGGGCGCUGUGCGAAGCUAGAAAUAACUGGGGGCAUUGAGAAUGCGGUGGCUGUAAAGGGCCGCUGAGGCGGUGGAGGCCUGGCAGAGGGCGUCCCCGCGGUCGCGGCUUCUGGCUUCUCUGUGGAGCUUGGUUCUUCCGUGGUGGUGCAGCACCCCAGGAACUUCAGGAACCAGUGCUUCCUUGGAGAGCUCCCCGGGACAGCCACGGGGGCCAAGUGAAACUAGCGCGUUUUCUUGGAUCCUACACUUUAUAGUGAAUCAUAAAUACUUUAAAUACAAAGCCAACAUUUGCUGCAAAUAAACGUAAAAAUACUGUUAAAGUGUAAAGUGUUUUCCUCCGUACCGUCUGACGUUUCUGGCGGUUCGUUGAACGCGGGAGAACGCUGAGCCGUCUGCACUGAGCCCGGGAGCAUCUUCAGGGCAGCGCCGCCCACGCGCGAGGUGAAUGAAGGACACGGCCUCUUGACACUCCCAGGCAGCACAGAUAGACGGAUCCUCUACCGCUGAUUGCAGCUGGAAAAGAUUCUGAGGGCUCACCUGAGUAAUCCAGGAUCAUCUUCCCAUUUCCAGGUCUCUGCCCUUGAUCACAUCAGCAGAAUCCUUUUGCCAUUGGCUAGAAGUGACCCCAGGAUUUUUUUAUUAUCAAGAGAGACUAGAAGAAUCAUGAGACUUUUCCUAGUUGCCUUUCAAGAAUACGAAGAAAAAAAUGGUUCUCAAAGUGUGUUUGAAUGAGUAUUGUUCCAAUAAAUGAACUUAUAUUCAUAUUUC
Molecule: small RNA, 1266 nt
Filed under: Pan troglodytes (chimpanzee)
Lineage: Eukaryota; Metazoa; Chordata; Mammalia; Primates; Hominidae
Description: processed transcript
Source: RNAcentral